Small nuclear RNA from Choloepus didactylus (southern two-toed sloth), 102 nucleotides. The record is from RefSeq and is a predicted model, not a curated record. Lineage: Eukaryota; Metazoa; Chordata; Mammalia; Pilosa; Megalonychidae.
GUGCUCACUUUGGCAGCAUAUAUACUAAAAUUGGAAUGAUAGAGAUUAGCAUGGCCCCUGCACAAGGAUGACAUGCAAAUUUGUGAAGCAUUCUAUAUAUAU